CAGAGAAUUCGUUCGCUGUCGCACUCAAUCCCGGAACGUCGGUGCAAUUGGUAGGUCGUGUCGUCCCAGAAAUUUUUCCAAAUUUUCCUUUUAAGGUUUUAUUUCCAAAAAGCAAUUUACUUGGACUACAGUUCUGUGCAUUUGAAGUAUUGUGGCAAAGCAAAAAAAAGGACAUAUCAAGGUGGUGUUGAAAUCUAAGCAACUACGAUUCAAUUCGAAGUGAUUAAUAAAUGAGUAAUAGUAGAACUAAAGUUACUUACUUAUGUACAUAUAAACAGUCAGACAAAUAUAAAAUAAACAUAGGUGGUCAAUCGUAUAGUGUAGUCCGUAGUCCUGUAGUAAAUUAUGGAUUCCAUCAUUUGUUAUGAUUGCUUAUCCAUUCAAAAGAACAUGGAAACAGACAUCCGUCCGCCGAACACAUUUCCUCCCCUCACCACCAAAGAUUGAAAAAUUCACAUUGUAAUCGAAUUUGCAAUUUUUUUGGCACAAAAGCCUCUCAGCAAGACGUGGGCGUAAGACGAAGGGAGGGUGCUGUAUUAUUUGUAAUAUUUUAACUGUAAAAAUUCACCAACAAAGCAAAAAAUAAACAUAUUUAUGAAGUUGUUCACAAUUUUGUGAAUUCCAAUUUUGCCUUCUCCAUAAAUGCUUCUAUAGAAAUCGCAUGUCAAAAGGUUUCCUAUCUCAUGUUUUCAAACAAACAGGAGUUGUUAAGCUUCAUGCGGCCGAGGAGAGAGGACAAAAAGAAAACACAACAAAAACUCUUCAAAUUGAUGGGGGAAAAGUGCGAAGUCCGAAUUUUUGAGGGUGGACAUCUAUAUUUUAUGUGCAUAUGUGAAUUUAUUUAUGUACAUAUGUAUACAUAUGUGAAUGUGCAUGCGGUUAACCUCGAAAUCGUCUUUAUACCAUAGAAAGAUAUUACUCAUUAGUUUUGAAAAAAUAUCAGCGGUUUUUUCGAAAAAACUCAAAAUAACGAAAAAUGCAAUACGAAUAAAUGGAAAUGCUGUUCUGCAAAAAUGUUUAAAGUUAAAAAAGAGAUUUGCAAUAACGUUCUUAACCAUAAUAUUUUAAAAUUUGUUCGCAAUAUUUUGUUACUAAAAUAUUAUGAACAAUUAAAAUUUAAUUAUCACAGAAUCAAUAUUCAGCAUUAUAGAGGGUAUACAGUCAAAUUUUAUUUUAUAAUAUUUACUUAGCGUUAAGCUUCUCUUUUGAAUUUAGCCAUCAAAGAUUUAUAAUAGAAAGAAUGCAGAUGUUCUUUGGGUUUCCCUCACUCCAUUGUAAGAAUCAUGCGUUUUUUGGAAAAAUUUUCAAAUAUUUAUUGCAAAUGAAGAGUACUUAAUAAGUAAAGAUUCUCGGAAGGUGUUUUGAUAAAAACUGCUUUUCUAAGGUUUAAAUUUGCAAAAAGAAAACACAACAAAAGUACUUCAAAUUAAGGGGUAAAAGUGCAAAGUUAAAAAAAAUCAGUUAUAAGCAGUUUCUACAACUAGAGUCGCAUGGAUCACAGCUCAACUAUGCAGACGUCUCUUUUUUCUCCACACAUGAAAGUAAUAUCUUUUGCUGUUGAUGUCCUACGAAACGUCACUUGUUAAAUUUCGAUUAGAAGCAUACUAUAGCCAUACUGAUUUAAUAAAUAUAACCAAAUAGAAGUCUAAACAACAGAUAUGCUCGUUUGUGAGCAUUGGAAGUCCAAUUAAAUAACUAAUUAAUUCUGUACUGGUAUUAAUCUGAUCUGUUUCUAACUAGUUCGAAUGUAGCCAGCAAGUUUUCUUGACCAUUUGAUGCCUCAUGCUGGGUAACUAUCGGCUGGUUUUUUGAAUGUGGAUCAUUUUAUGCGGUUACAAGGUCCACGCUCAUUUACGAUACAAAAACAAGGAUAAUUUAGUUAAUUGCUUAUAAAUAUCUGAUUAAAAUACACUGUUACUUGUGACAAACUUAUCAUAAUAACAUUGUAAAUUCGUUCAGAGACAAGUUAUUAGAUCUAAAUCAAUUAAAUUGAUAUCAAAUCGUAAAAUGCUCACAACUUGGUUUUAAGAUUAGUGCUUAAAAACUUAUAUCAGGUGCUAUUUAAUGGAUAUUAGUUCGGGAAAGAGCUUCACUAAAUAAAUUAUUGAUAUUCUCUCUCAAUAAUACUUUCAAAUGAAUAAUGCAAAAUGCUUAAUUUUUGCUAUGUACAUACAUACAUACAUAUGUAACUAUACACCAUAAGUUUGUAUGUAGUUUUGUAUGUAUGUGUUUCAACAGUAUGGAGUAGGACCAGAGCUAGGGCUAGGGCAUGAGAGGGGGCUAGAGCAAAUUUAUUAUUUAUCCUUUUGUUAGCAACUGUGUAUGUAUGUAUGGGCAAGUUGCGGUGUACAUGUGUGGACAGCUCAUUGUUAUGCCAAACAAUGCUUCGGAAAGCUGAUUUUUCAUUUUGACACAACUUGCGAAUGUGAACUAAUAGAUACAUAAAAUUGCUGUUUCUUUUUGCAUUGCAUAAUGUGUACAUACAAAUAUGGAGAUUAAUAUGUAUGUCGUUUUGUGAGAAUUGAAUUUGGAAAGUAGUAUGUACAUACAUAUGUAUGUAUGUAUGAUUGUAUGUAUGUAGUGGUAGCUAGAAAUUCAUCAUCUGGAAGAAAAAUAUGUUCUCUCAAAUUCAUGAUAUGAGCAGCUAACAGUACUCGACUCCGUGCCCGACUGUCAUUAGAGAGGGUGUAUGUGUUUCACACCCUAUGCUGGAAAACGUGAGAGAGAAAAAAAACAGUAAACUAAGGACGACCUACACGGCACAUUCUAAGCAAUAGGUGGAGCACAAUAUUGGAGCACAGACUGGUACUACUCUCUGUGAUACAGUGGUCCUGAAUUGAUAGCUACAGAAACCUUGUCUCAAUAUUAAAAACACAAUGAACAAAUUGUCAUUGGAACGCUUUUCUUCAGGAUUAUCAAAUAUCAAAAUUUACAUGCAAGAACCGAGACAAGAUUGAGUUUUUGAAGAUGCGAGCAGCCUGUAAACUUCACAGUGUGGAUCUAUAGCCUACAGGACACGAAUGCAUUUAGUAGCCUCCGAGCCUACAUUGCCGUAUAAUUCGCUGUAUCACAAUCAUUCCGCAUUUGCGGAUCUAAAUUGCCACAAGAUGAGGAAUAACUGCCGCCCAUAAAUAUAAGCGUACACGCGUAAACACUUUCACAUAAAUACAUUCAUAUCUAUCUAAGUACAUAUGUACAUGUAUGUAUGCGUUAUAUUUUUUUAGCUCGACGCAAUUCAAUAUUUUCUCAAUCCAUUCAUAAAUCACCAUUAAAACGGCAAUUUUUGUCACUUGCUGAAUCAAGAAAGCUAUAAACGUCGCAAAUAAGAUGAAACGAAACAAAGCUAAAUAAAUUCGAUUGCCCUAUAAAGCCCAUUAAAUCAAAUUAGCUUAAAAAGUAAGCGUUGUUUGAGAUUUAUUUCCAGGGCCACAUUAUUCCUCCUGUUAGGCGUUAGUCCAUUAUAACUGCUCAUAACUCACAACGGUAAUCCUUUGAAAGGACAUCGAAGUUGUGAUACUUCUCCCACAAAUGACCAUAAAAAUGCAAUUAGAGGUAAAUCAUUGCCUGCAUAUUUCGUUUACGAAAAACAAAACACUCAGAAACACGAGGUGUGUGAGGCGACUAUGGCGAAGCAUUACAAGUUAGAUUGCGUUGCUUCACUUUUUACUAAACUGAAAAUAAUUUAAAACUUCGACCACAUAACAAUUUCGAUAAAAGAUUAAAGGUAAAGAAUUUCCUAACACAGAAUUUUCCAUAUUCCAUCUAUAAGGCCCAAAGCGUAAUAUCCAAACAAAUUUAACAUAAAUCAAAAGCUCCCCAAACACCAGUUUAGCAACAUUACAAUUUUAGUACAGAUAUUGUCCGAAAUCUAUCCAUGGGAAAACUUAGCAACUUUCUCGCAUAUGUAUGUAUAAAUGUACCUAUGUAUGUACAUACAUAAUAUCACAUCUAUCACACUUACUCAAAGGUGCAUACAUAUGUAUGUACACUCGAAUUGUGUAGCAUACCUUUCGAGAACAUGCUAAAUGGCAUUUUUAUGCAUUUUCAAUACCAGACACAGCAUUAAAAAAGCCUUACUAACCAUUUAUAUUUGUAUUUGAAGAAUAAUUCAUUAUUUGGAACGCGCUCGCUUCGACCAACUGAUGCGUUCACAAACGCAUAGCAAUUUGGCACAUGGACCAUCACACCCAAGCACACACGUGCUUAUAAUCCAUUGGUUGUUGGUACACCGUUUUAUCCCCACAGGACAUUAGAAAACAAGAAAAAUACGAUAUACAAAGGAGAAAAUGGGCAAGUGGAAAACUUUUUGUCACUCGGGGGUUUCUACGAUACAACUGUACAUAAAUGUCCCAUGAAAAAAUAUAGUAUGUGGCAACUAAAUCGCC
Molecule: long non-coding RNA, 4385 nt
Organism: Bactrocera dorsalis (oriental fruit fly)
Lineage: Eukaryota; Metazoa; Arthropoda; Insecta; Diptera; Tephritidae
Exons: 3
Source: RefSeq, a predicted model, not a curated record